GACGAACGCUGGCGGCGUGCCUAAUACAUGCAAGUCGAGCGAACCAAUAAGAAGCUUGCUUUUUGUUGGUUAGCGGCGGACGGGUGAGUAACACGUGGGUAACCUGCCUGUAAGAUCGGGAUAACUCCGGGAAACCGGUGCUAAUACCGGAUAGAUUAUCUUUCCGCUUGGAGAGAUAAGGAAAGAUGGCUAUUGCCAUCACUUACAGAUGGGCCCGCGGCGCAUUAGCUAGUUGGUGAGGUAACGGCUCACCAAGGCGACGAUGCGUAGCCGACCUGAGAGGGUGAUCGGCCACACUGGGACUGAGACACGGCCCAGACUCCUACGGGAGGCUG
This 335-nucleotide ribosomal RNA is filed under the name uncultured Bacillota bacterium. Its description in RNAcentral is "bacterial SSU rRNA". It matches the Rfam family "Bacterial small subunit ribosomal RNA", at positions 28 to 351 of the family's 1533-position model. Lineage: Bacteria; Bacillati; Bacillota. The record is from RNAcentral.